GCAGUAAGCCAGACGAUCGCCGCGUGGCUGACGCCAGUUCUCCGGAGCUGGCGAAGGCCCGGGGAGGAAAGUCCGAACUCCGCAAGGCAGUGCGCCGGUUAACGGCCGGUCAGGGCGACCUGAAGGAAAGUGGCACAGAAAAUAUACCGCCGGCGCUGUGUCCGGCUGACGGCAGAAGGAGUAGAGGCGCGAACGGAACACGCGCCUCAACUCCUUCUAUUGUGAGCCGGGCACGGCGCAGGUAAGGGUGAAAAGGUGCGGUAAGAGCGCACC
This 273-nucleotide RNase P RNA is filed under the name Acidobacteriota bacterium. RNAcentral's name for it is "Acidobacteria bacterium (permafrost metagenome) partial RNase P RNA component class A". It matches the Rfam family "Bacterial RNase P class A", at positions 1 to 179 of the family's 367-position model. Rfam says of the family: Ribonuclease P (RNase P) is a ubiquitous endoribonuclease, found in archaea, bacteria and eukarya as well as chloroplasts and mitochondria. Its best characterised activity is the generation of mature 5'-ends of tRNAs by cleaving the 5'-leader elements of precursor-tRNAs. Lineage: Bacteria; Pseudomonadati; Acidobacteriota. The record is from RNAcentral.